GACGAACGCUGGCGGCGUGCUUAACACAUGCAAGUCGAACGGUGAAGGGGUCUGCUUUUGUGGGCCCUGGAUGAGUGGCGAACGGGUGAGUAACACGUGAGUAACCUGCCCCCUUCUUCUGGAUAACCGCAUGAAAGUGUGGCUAAUACGGGAUAUUCUGGGUCUGUCGCAUGAUGGGUCUGGGAAAGAUUGCGCCUUUGGGUGUUUUUGUUGGGGGAUGGGCUCGCGGCCUAUCAGCUUGUUGGUGGGGUGAUGGCCUACCAAGUCGGUGACGGGUAGCCGGCCGGAGAGGGGGGACGGUCACACUGGGACUGAGACACGGCCCAGACUCCUACGGGAGGCAGCAGUGGGGAAUAUUGCAGAAUGGGCGCAAGCCUGAUGCAGCGACGCCGCGUGAGGGAUGGAGGCCUUCGGGUUGUAAACCUCUUUCGGCAGUGAAGCAGGCCUGCUCCUUGUGGGUGGGUUGACGGUAGCUGGAUAAGAAGCGCCGGCUAACUACGUG
This 502-nucleotide ribosomal RNA is filed under the name uncultured bacterium. RNAcentral's name for it is "partial 16S ribosomal RNA". It matches the Rfam family "Bacterial small subunit ribosomal RNA", at positions 28 to 507 of the family's 1533-position model. The record is from RNAcentral.